UCGGGAAUUUUGGGCAAUGGGCGAAAGCCUGACCCAGCAACGCCGCGUGAGGGAUGAAGUAUUUCGGUAUGUAAACCUCGAAAGAAUGGGAAGAAUAAAUGACGGUACCAUUUGUAAGCUCCGGCUAACUACGUGCCAGCAGCCGCGGUAAUACGUAGGGAGCAAGCGUUGUUCGGAUUUACUGGGCGUAAAGGGCGCGUAGGCGGCGCGGUAAGUCACUUGUGAAAUCUCUGAGCUUAACUCAGAACGGCCAAGUGAUACUGCUGUGCUAGAGUGCGGAAGAGGCUACCGGAAUUCUUGGUGUAGCGGUGAAAUGCGUAGAUAUCAAGAGGAACACCUGAGGCGAAGGCGGGUUGCUGGGCCGACACUGACGCUGAUGCGCGAAAGCCAGGGGAGCAAACG
This 402-nucleotide ribosomal RNA is filed under the name uncultured bacterium. Its description in RNAcentral is "bacterial SSU rRNA". It matches the Rfam family "Bacterial small subunit ribosomal RNA", at positions 355 to 774 of the family's 1533-position model. The record is from RNAcentral.